Long non-coding RNA from Micropterus dolomieu (smallmouth bass), 1073 nucleotides. RefSeq lists it as uncharacterized. The transcript is spliced from 5 exons. Lineage: Eukaryota; Metazoa; Chordata; Actinopteri; Centrarchiformes; Centrarchidae. The record is from RefSeq and is a predicted model, not a curated record.
GUCGGUCCAGCGCCAUCUUGGAUUUCCUCGGGUGGUGUUGAGUUUAAGUAAGAGUUUACCUGCACCUGUGAAGUGUUGGUUACUUUACACUCCACAAACAUCGACAUGACCCUCCUGAAUUGCUGUUCAGACUUCACCUACCUUCCCAUGGCUCUGUAUUGUUAACAUCCUUCCAAAGACCAACUUUAUUAUCACGAGUGGCUGAAAUUGGUGCCUCAGUAACGUUGUUAGGAAAAGACCAAUGAAGACAGCCAGAUGGUGGUCAGUGGCAAUUUUACUGUUGGGGCUCGCUGUGCUCGGUGCCGAUGGGAGACCCAACAAGGAGGGAUUCAGGCCGCCACCCUAUCGACCAGUCGUGAGAUUCCGACACAAGGGGACUGUCUUUUCAAAGACAACAUCAAAUUAAUACGAGGCACAGCUGAGCAAAGAAGACGACGAUCUCUGAAUGAAGCGGCAUGCGGCGCACCUGCUGCCGUGAUAACGGAUCACGAGUGGAAAACUCCGGACAAAAGACGAGUUCUGUGUCUUUUGGGUGACUUUAUUAAACAUACUGCUGGUGGCGAAAGCAAGAGAAGCAGAGACGGAGUGUGACGGAGUGGGGUGUGUUUGCAGUGAGAGACCAGAGGAGCGCCGGGGUACAAUCAUGAUGCCGGCUCAACAUUGUGAUAACUGUCAGCCAUCGGCGAUGGACGAGGGCAUCGUACAUUGGCAGUUCCCUGACCUCAGUGUUAAAUUAUACUUAAUGGAUUGAUGGACUGAUGAAUUAAUUAUCAUCAUUAAAGUAGACUUUAUGUACAUAACAAAGUUAAUUUACACCUGCCAUUGAAAUGCCUCUUGUAUUAGGAUUGUAUCUGGAUAAGAUUUUAACCUGAUAACGUUUACACCUGGUCUUAAUAUGUGUCUCUAUAAUCCACAUUGAGAUCCGAACGCUCUGUCCCUCUCAAACAACCGAACAUCACAUCCUCCCCUAGUUUGUGUGAGUCCACAAAAUGCUGUAUAACUGUAGACUGUAUAAUAACUUUCUGAGCCGUCUCUGAGCUCGCUAUCCAGUUUUCCUCCAUGGAUAAUAAGUC